GACGAACCGUGCGAACGUUGUUCGGAUUCACUGGGCUUAAAGGGCGCGUAGGCGGCUGGCCAAGUCAGGGGUGAAAUCUUUCGGCUCAACCGGAAAAGUGCCCCUGAUACUGGCGGGCUGGAGGAGGGUAGGGGCGGAUGGAACUUCCGGUGGAGCGGUGAAAUGCGUAGAUAUCGGAAGGAACGCCGGUGGCGAAAGCGAUCCGCUGGACCCUUUCUGACGCUGAGGCGCGAAAGCCAGGGGAGCAAACGGG
Molecule: ribosomal RNA, 253 nt
Filed under: uncultured bacterium
Lineage: Bacteria
Description: partial 16S ribosomal RNA
Rfam family: Bacterial small subunit ribosomal RNA
Source: RNAcentral